Molecule: long non-coding RNA, 491 nt
Organism: Cercocebus atys (sooty mangabey)
Lineage: Eukaryota; Metazoa; Chordata; Mammalia; Primates; Cercopithecidae
Exons: 4
Source: RefSeq, a predicted model, not a curated record
GGAAAGUCUUUGAAGAGGAACCUCUACUUUACUUUUUACACCUUCCAUGUAUGAAAGGAAAAUAAAAUCUCGGGACCCCCAACUCACUGUGCCAAAAGGGAAAGUUAAGUUUGGAAACUGAGUCACACAUAAACAAUUGCCUUUCCUUCUCUUCUUAAACAGGUAUCUCCCCAGCUGGCCUCCCUCACCCUGAAAAUUGCAGAAUACUAUUCCACUGUCUCGAUGUACCACAGUUUAUUUAUCCAUUCACCUGCUGAAGAAUACCUUGGUUGCUUCCAAGUUUUGGCAGUUAUGAAUAAAGCUGCUAUAAACAUUCAUGGGUGCCCAAGCUGGAUGUUGGGACAUUCUCCGAGAACGAGAUCUGGAGUCCUGCCUGUGUUUAGACCUUGCCUGACCCCCAACACCCAGACUGAUGCAAUUCUCCCUAUCCAAGUUGUGCCCCCUUCUACCAGAUGGGGUUGCCCAGGCUGGAGUGCAGUGGUGCAAUGACA